UUAAAGCGGUACGUGAGCUGGGUUCAGAACGUCGUGAGACAGUUUGGUCCAUAUCCGGUGUAAGCGUAAGAACAUUGAGAGGAACUUUCCAUAAUACGAGAGGACUUGGAAGGAUAUACCGCUGGUGUACCAGUUCUUGUACCAACGGGAAAUGCUGGGUAGCUAAGUAUAGAGUGGAUAACUGCUGAAAGCAUCUAAGUAGGAAGCCCACCUCAAGAUGAGUGUUCUUUUGAAGAUCAGAGCGAGACUAGCUCAAAAAUAGGAAUUCAGUGUAUGGCUAGUAAUAGUUGAAGCUAAAAUUUACUAAAGAUCAAAUUUUUUGAAUAAA
This 328-nucleotide ribosomal RNA is filed under the name Ostreobium sp. HV05007bc. Its description in RNAcentral is "LSU rRNA". It matches the Rfam family "Bacterial large subunit ribosomal RNA", at positions 2588 to 2925 of the family's 2925-position model. The record is from RNAcentral. Lineage: Eukaryota; Viridiplantae; Chlorophyta; Ulvophyceae; Bryopsidales; Ostreobiaceae.